UUCCCUCUCUUCCUAUAUAUAUAUAUAUAUUCUGUCAGUGACAUUGUUAAAGAUCCAUUGUUCCAUUCAGAUAUGAGGGAAAUUGUAACUAUUCAAGUGGGGAGUUAUGCCAACUUUAUUGGCUCUCACUUCUGGAACUUCCAGGAUGAAUUACUUGGAUUGGCUGAAAGCCCUGAAAGUGAUGAAGUAUUCAAAAAUCAUAGCCUUGAUAUGGAUGUGUUGUAUCGUACUGGGGAAACUCAGCAAGGGCUCCUUACAUACACCCCUCGAAUGGUCUCAGUAAACUUUCAAGGGUCCCUUGGAUCUGUGAGUUCACGUGGAUCGUUGUACGAUCAGAUCCCAGCCAAAAACAUGGAUGUCAUGACAUGGAAGGGCAGAGUCAUAACUCAUGCAUCUGAACCUUUAAGGAGGAAUCUCUUCUUGCAAAGCUUAAGUGAGGAAGGACAAGAGAGUGUGGGCAAAGCUAAUGAUUUGGACAAUGUGAACAACAAUUCUCCAGCAGAAAUUCAAGAUAAGGAUAUCGUAGAAUGUUUGGAAAGUGAUGUUCAAUAUUGGACAGAUUUUUCUAAAGUACACUAUCAUCCACAAAGUUUAUAUGAAUUAAGUGGAUUAUGGGCAGAUAUUCAGGAGUUCGAUAAUUAUGGACUCGGGAAGGAGGCAUUUUGUGGGCAUCAACAUGGUGAAGAAAUAGAUGACAGACUUCGUUUCUUUGUUGAAGAAUGUGAUCAUAUUCAGGGGAUCCAAUGCAUUGUGGACGACUCAGGAGGGUUUUCUGGUGUAUCCGCAAUGUUCCUGGAGAGCAUUGCAGAUGAGUACCCAAACGUCCCAGUUUUACUAUAUAAUGCACGUAAUCCUAGCUUGCACAUGGACUCCAAAGGUCGCAAGCAAGCUAUCUCCCACAAUCUUCAUGAUGCAGUCUCAUUUUCAAGGUUGUCUGAGCUAUGUAAAUUGAUUAUCCCGGUUGGUUUGCCCUCCCUGAGUGGAAGUAGAGCUUCUCAGUUUCUCCGCAUUGAAGACGAAAAGCCUUACCACUCCAGUGCAGUGUAUGCGUCUGCAAUGCACUCAUUUAGUCUCCCUUUUAGGAUGAAACAGUCAGGCCCAUCUGCAGAAUCAAUCUAUACGUCUGGUGCUCUGGAUAUGUAUGGGACAGUACAAAUGCUAGCAGGCCAAAUGAGGCAGAACAUGGUAACUAUAUUAGAUGUUGCCAUGCCGGCACCUUCUUUAAGUGCAGACCGGGCUCAGCAGUCCUUUCUCGGAAACUUGCAGCCCUUGAUUCCGGACAUAGCAGAAGAUGUUGAAGAUUUCCAUGCAGUGGAAACUAUGAACAUUCACGGAGCAGUUACAUCUGGAAACCAAAGGGCCUCAAUUAAUGACGUUAAGGAUGCAGUUGAGUGUGCUUACGAUAAUUCAGUCACAAGGCCCAAAUUCUCACACCUAUCUGCUUCUACUUGUCCUCUUCCUAUACCCUUGCCAUUCCCUAUGAUCUUUCGCGAUAUGGUUGGUCAACACGGUGAGCUAUUGGAAACCCCGAUUUCAGGUUCUUCAUCUAGGGGAUCCAUUGAAGUCCAUUCCAUUCCUAUGGCAACAAGAUUACGUUCAAGCACUGCUGUUUUGCCCUUUUUGGAAAGAAAACUUGAAAAUCUUCGUAGGUUUGGUAUUGAGCGAGGAGCCAUUGGGGCACCAUUGCUCCAAAGUUGGGGUUUUGGAAAAGAUGAAGUGGAAGAUAUGGGAGAGGUACUGUCUAAGAUGGUAACGACACUGAAGCCCUAUCCUCAAUAUUCCUCUGAUUCGGAUUGAGUUCACAAGGAGCAUAUUUUAUUUUCAAGUGCCGAUGGGAUAGUUCUUCCAGGUAUCCCUAGCUUGAUAAAAGAAGCCAAUUAGACAGGGUUGAGGCCUCCAUCUUCGAUAACGACAACUAUAACUCAGGGAUGAAUCAGCAAUGUACUUCAGCCAACAUUUGGAUACACAUUUAAACCUUGCUAGAGAUUUUGAAGGCAAACAAUGCAGUAUGUUGAUCACAAUAUCAUCAGAAACCUCCACUGCUCCUUCUUUGUCACACAAUUUGCGUCGACGUUUCAUACUAGUCAUACUUUUUCAACUAUAUUAUUUUCUUCUUACACAAAGUGUUCACAACAGAAGUUAUAGCGAUUGUGGGUUACCGAGAUUAAAAAAGAAAACUGUAACAGAAUUUGAACUUUUCAUGAAAUUCAACAGAAAAUUCAGAUUAGAAGAUGGGAAGUAAAGUCCACUUAUAAUUGUUACAGAAAUGAGAUUUUAAAUGGUUAGCAAA
Molecule: RNA transcript, 2290 nt
Organism: Solanum pennellii
Lineage: Eukaryota; Viridiplantae; Streptophyta; Magnoliopsida; Solanales; Solanaceae
Gene name: protein misato homolog 1
Exons: 10
Source: RefSeq, a predicted model, not a curated record